UAGCCGUAAACGAUACUCGCUAGGUGUCGGCCACGGUGCGACCGUUGUCGGUGCCGUAGGGAAGCCGUGAAGCGAGCCACCUGGGAAGUACGGCCGCAAGGCUGAAACUUAAAGGAAUUGGCGGGGGAGCACCACAACGGGUGGAGCUCGCGGUUUAAUUGGAUUCAACGCCGGAAAUCUUACCGGGACCGACAGCAACAUGAAGGCCAGGCUGAAGACUUUGCCGGAUUAGCUGAGAGGUGGUGCAUGGCGUAGUCGUGU
This 261-nucleotide ribosomal RNA is filed under the name uncultured archaeon. RNAcentral describes it as "partial 16S ribosomal RNA". It matches the Rfam family "Archaeal small subunit ribosomal RNA", at positions 748 to 1009 of the family's 1478-position model. The record is from RNAcentral.